Molecule: ribosomal RNA, 168 nt
Filed under: uncultured rumen bacterium
Lineage: Bacteria
Description: partial 16S ribosomal RNA
Rfam family: Bacterial small subunit ribosomal RNA
Source: RNAcentral
UACGGGAGGCAGCAGUGGGGAAUAUUGCACAAUGGGGGGAACCCUGAUGCAGCGAUGCCGCGUGAAGGAUGAAGUAUUUCGGUAUGUAAACUUCUAUCAGCAAGGAAGAAAAAGGACAGUACUUGACUAAGCAGCCCCGGCUAACUACGUGCCAGCAGCCGCGGUAAU